GGGGGUGUACUGGUUUCGACGGGGGUGUGGAGGCAGGAAUAGCGGGCGGAUGCGCCUACCAUCCAUAAAAUGGGCAACUUAUAAAUUAAAGAACAACAACAAUCCUGUUGCUCUCGCUGCCUAAGCAGUGAGCGUCUCACCCGGGAGGACCACGGCCCGGGAGGAGGCGUCGACGAGUGGUGCCCGUGCGUGCGCAAAGCUUUGAGCGCACCAUGAAUCAUGAAGCUACCAAGCCCCUGAGCGUGACGGCUCGCGCCCGGGCAAGGGAACGCAAAUAACCGUCUGCGCCCGGAGAAGUUCCUGUUCAAGCGCUUUCGGACGGGGGUUCGAUUCCCCCCACCUCCACCA
RNAcentral lists this transfer-messenger RNA (348 nucleotides) under Oscillospiraceae. RNAcentral describes it as "Limivicinus sp902778115 Standard tmRNA". It matches the Rfam family "transfer-messenger RNA". From Rfam's summary of the family: Bacterial tmRNA, also known as 10Sa RNA or SsrA, is named for its dual tRNA and mRNA-like properties. Its role is to liberate the mRNA from a stalled ribosome. To accomplish this part of the tmRNA is used as a reading frame that ends in a translation stop signal. Lineage: Bacteria; Bacillati; Bacillota; Clostridia; Eubacteriales. RNAcentral also lists the same sequence under 1 other name. The record is from RNAcentral.